GACAUCCUGAGUUGUAAAAGAGGUGCUGUUAUAUAACACAGGCACUGUAUAGCAGCCUUAGGUUAUGAAUAUUAAGAGACAAUCUCAAAUGAGAUAAUAUCAAUAAAGACCUCCUGUCGUCUCUACCCAAGAAAUAAACUAAAGGAAGGCAGUGUCCUUGCAGGCAUUUUGACAUCAGGGAUGGGCAAAAACAUACAUCCAUUUAAGAAUUCUAGAAUCAGAGACUAGGAAGAGUUGAAACAACCUUACAGAUCACUUGAUGCACUUUAUAUAGACCCAGGGGAGAAACAAAAAGACCAACUACUAAAGCUGCUAAAACAAGAUAAAGCAUACUGCAAGGGAAAGGCUGGAGCAGUUCACUGGCUGAAGUUAUAAACUCCAUCAAGAGACACACAAUCAGAUGGCACAACUGUCUUCAGUGGGUCACAGUUUUCCAAAUACAAAGGCGGUGCCUACCGAAGCUCUGGGAUUCUGGAAAAUAUACUGGACUUGGAGUAAGACAAUCUCAGUCCAUGUUCCUAGUUCUAGGAUUUUAGGCAUAACACUUGGCUUUUAGGGCAUUGUAUUUUCUUUAUAGUAACAUGGUAUUAAAAUGAUGCCUAUCAACAGGCUUGUCAGGAUGAGUCAACAGCAUAUUAGAUGGGAAAACACCAUAAAGUACAAAAGGCUUGUUAUCGUCAGUCUCCUUUGGUUGUUAUAUUGGUUAAGAGGACUAAUUGUUGCCUCUCUCCAAGUUCAGAACUAAUUCAAACAUACAUAGAGGAGUCAGAGGUGGAUCAAACAUUAUUUUUAUUACUAGUUAAGUUGGAUUUAAGAACAUGGCUUGACUUAUAGCUUCCUACUGUAUCCUAUAACACACUAUUUUUUCAUAUUCUGCCCUUUCUCCUUGAUUAUACUAUAAGCUUUUGGAGAGAAGAAAUUAUGCUUUAUAUCUCUCUGCAUCCCUAGAGUUUUUCACACAGCCAUAACCCCAGCAGGUGUGCUAUCUGAUAAAGGAGACUGCAUUUGUACCACAGUUUUCUAUGUGAAGCCUUUUUUCUCCACUGGCCUGGGAACUCUUGGAGGGCAGGGUUCAUGUCUUUUCAUUCCCAGUGCUUAGCAUAAUACCUAGCACAUAGUAGAUUCUUUAUAAAAGUGUGUUGAAAGAUCAUGAAAACAGAAGGGUACCAAAUGAUCUGGUGCCACCCAGGGGUUGCAGAGAGGGAUUUAUUUAUUUUUUAUUUUUUUUUUAGGAUUAUUAUGAAUAACAGUGAAUAUAAAUAUGGAUUGAAAAUAGUCCUUUUGGUGAUUUCAAAAUUUUCUGGUUGGCCUCUGAGACAGGUGGCAUCUUAAUGAAAGAGGGGAAGCUCCCCAUCUGGGAAGGCUCAGAAGUGGGGCCUACCCUAUUUCCUUAACACUCAGGACACUAGGAAGCCUUGCAGUUUACUUGUAUCCAAGUGAGGGGAUUUGCCUAUUCUGUUAUCUACUUUGAAAUGUUAGCUCCUAAAACAUGGGCAGGUAGCUUAAAAAGACAUCUGAAAUAAACACUGGAUUGAAGGCAAUGCUAAUAAUGGAAGCACAAGUGAACAACAAGCAAAAGGCAGGCUGACACUUCUAUUAUUCUUGAUAUAAACUUUUCUUCAACCAUGUUAUAAAGUAAAAAAUAACGAUGAACUAAGCAGAGAGGGAUUUAAAGGAGGGCUGUCUUCUAAGGAUCCCAUUCUUGACAGUUUGUUCAUUUGGAAAAUAGCACUACCUGCAAAUUAUUGUGAUUGAAGGUUUUAUUUGAGACAGUUUUCCCCAGGAGAAACUUCAGCUUCUGUUUACUUGUUAGGCACCCUGGCUAUCUGGGCAUCUGAGCCCUGGACAUCUUAAUUAGAGUUGGUCUGCUAAUGUCCAUAGCAGAGAGGAACUGUCACUUGGUAAUUAAGUUAGAGCCAUGACAGAAGCCUGUGACAUCUGAUGUUUCAGAAUAUAACAACCCUUGUUCUUCUCCCAAGGGAUGCACACACCAUGAAACAAUUUCCUUUGGAGUUGCUGGUAGAAUCUGCUAACAUAAUAUCUAAGAUGAGAUGGCAUGCAGAGGUCUCUGUAAGGGGUGAGGACCUCAAAACACUCUUGUGAAGUAUGCUGCUCCUCAGUUCAGGGCCUUGCAGAGGAUCUGAGACAACAAACCUUCCUAUACAGAUAAACUCUCGGUGCCUCAGUGGAGUGAGUGCAUGAGAUGUGGCUUACUCAGCUGUGGCCACCUGGGCAGGGUUGUUGUGGAGUCAGGUCCUCUGCUUUAUGUGAUUGUUUCUGUGUUUUUUAAGCCCUGAGCUGUGCUUCCAGAGAUGUCUGCACCUGUGCACUGCAUUUUGGACUAUAUGCUCUGUGGACGCUGUGAGAAUCCCCUAACUUUGCUUUUUUUUUUUUAGGACAAAUCAGAAUAAAACAAUUCAACUUUCAAGGUAUUAAAAGGAUUCACCAACUCCUAUCUCUUAACACAAUGGCCAAAAAACUGCUGGACUCAAGGCACAGUCAUGUAUUCCUGGCAUAAGGCCUGCCUGGGUGUUCUAACUCAAUGAGCCCCACAUGCCAGACUAUUUCCACAGAGCUGAUAUGGGACAGGAAGGGCUAAGGAACUUCAAAACUAAUAGUUUGGUGCAACUGAUAUGGACCUGUGCAGUCACUGACCACAUGUAGCACUGAGAACUUGAAAUGUUGCAAGUGUGACUGAGGAAGUGAAUUAUUAAAACUUAUUUUUAACUAAAUUUAAAAGGUGAUAGCUAAUUCAGUCACUAGAAACAUUUUAAGUAUGUAAGUCUACUUUUCCAAUCGUAAGUUUUAUGAAAUCUAACCAACUAUUUAUGAAAAAAAUUCAGUGUCUAAAUUGAAGAUGUGCUAUAAAUGCACAUUAUAUAGGAGAUUUAAAAGACCUGGUCUGAAAAAAAAAAAGAAAGCAAAUAUUUCACUAGAUUUUUUUAUUGAUUAUAUGUUGAAAUAAUGUUUUGAAUACAUUGGUUUAAAUACAAAUAUUAUUUAAAUUGCUUUUGCCUAUUUCUUUUCACUUUUUCUACUGUGGCUACUAGAAAAUUUGAAAUUACAUAUGUGCCUUGUGUUCUAUGUCCAUUAGACUGGGCCAACCUAGACCAUAAUUCUCAUUCUCUCUAAUGAAGUCUCAUCCAACAAUAUGGACCACUUGAGAAACCUGCUCAUUGUUCCUCUGUCCAGUUCAUUCCACUUUAAUGCCAUGUUUCUUUGGUCUCCCAUGUGCCAGGCAUUGUUCUAGGCUAAGAAUACACCAUGUG
Molecule: long non-coding RNA, 3269 nt
Filed under: Homo sapiens (human)
Lineage: Eukaryota; Metazoa; Chordata; Mammalia; Primates; Hominidae
Description: TMEM108 antisense RNA 1
Source: RNAcentral